UGACCGAGUACUUUUUGUAGAACGGGCCAACGAGUUACGUUAAGUAGCAAGGUUAAGCACUUAAGGUGUGGAGCCGUAGCGAAAGCGAGUUUUAACUGAGCGUUCAGUUACUUGACGUAGACCCGAAACCGGGCGACCUACCCAUGAGCAGGAUGAAGCGAAAGUAAAAGUUCGUGGAGGUCCGAACCCACGAGCGUUGAAAAGCUCGGGGAUGACUUGUGGGUAGCGGUGAAAUUCCAAUCGAGCCCGGAGAUAGCUGGUUCUCCCCGAAAUAGCUUUAGGGCUAGCCUCAAGGU
RNAcentral lists this ribosomal RNA (296 nucleotides) under Clostridioides difficile. RNAcentral describes it as "partial 23S ribosomal RNA". It matches the Rfam family "Bacterial large subunit ribosomal RNA", at positions 594 to 888 of the family's 2925-position model. The record is from RNAcentral. Lineage: Bacteria; Bacillati; Bacillota; Clostridia; Peptostreptococcales; Peptostreptococcaceae.